This is a long non-coding RNA of Panicum virgatum (switchgrass), 2503 nucleotides long. RefSeq lists it as uncharacterized. The record is from RefSeq and is a predicted model, not a curated record. NCBI's taxonomy places the organism in Eukaryota, Viridiplantae, Streptophyta, Magnoliopsida, Poales, Poaceae. The transcript has 2 exons.
CGCUCGCGCGAUAAAUAGCUUUUCCGCCACCCCCCACCCCCGCAUGCUGCCGGCGCCCCCAACCGCGCCCUCGCCGCCGUCGCCGUCUCCCCCACCUUGCUGCCGCCCUUGCGCUCUGCCCGCGCUCGACUCCACGGCCGCCGCCACUAACCGUUCCCACCACGCCUCUCAACGUGCCGCGCUGUCCUUCCAUAGCUCUCCCCCUCAGAUUGCCCCCGCGCCCAUGCCUCGCGACGGCCUGUCGCCGAAGACUGCGCCGGUCUGCCUCCUCCUCCUCCACCCCUAUCGGGUGAAACCCUUGGCGCCGGUCUGCGCCGGUCUGCCGCGGAUCCAGCAGCAUGUCUCUCACAUCGGCGCGCCCGCGGUCCAGAGGAGCGUACGCAACGACUGGGGCCCCAACAUCAGCGGCGCAGCCCCUAGGACUGCUGGCGGCGGAGGUAGGGUGCGCUGCCCCAAGGAGCGCCGCCGGCGAAUGCCAAGGCGACAUCAAGGCCCAAGGCAGUGGUGUGGGGAGGGGCGCUUCCACGAGGAGCAGAUGUGGCGUAUGCACAGCACAGGCAGCGGCCGCAGCGGCGUUCACUAGAGGUGCAGCAGUAGGCGCGGGCAGCAGCACUUGGGGGUCAACGCCAUCAGCCGCCGGCAACAAAGCCAAGCAAAGCUCGACUCACUCCAGCUUUACCUACAAGGAACUGCAGGAACAGCAAGCUUGCGAGCAAUCAAAAGCCGUGACACAACUAUGGUGCCUGCACUGCUUGCAAGAUGUUCGGCAGAAUCUCCAUCGUCUAACUUGGUAAGCUGCCAGAGUCCUGACCCAUGCAGUCUCCUUAUUUUUACUGCUGUAAGGAUAAAACGAAAUCCCAUCUUUUCCUACUUGCUUGGUUGUAGAUGGUGAGAUCUACAUGUCUCUCGCUUGUUGUCGAAGCUUGGUUUAAUUUCAUGUUGAGCACCAAUUCUAUUUGAUUAAUUUGAGUUUUGCUUUAGAUAUUGCAUUUGUUGCCAUCUACAAUUUUCACUGCAGAUAUCACACUGCUAUGUCAAAAGUAGGGCUCAUUCUACCUUGAUCUCACAGAUAUAUUUGACAGAUGAAAAUAUUGUUUCUCUUUGUGGAGAAAAAAGAGAGUUGAUUAGAAUUGUUCCCUUAUAAGAAACUUGUGCAGGUAUGGAUAUGUUAUGAUUGGAUAAUUCAGAUAUGUUAUGAUCGGAUAAUUCAGAUGACAAGAAGCAUAUUUAUGAUCUAGGUUCGAGAACCCUUUGUUUCUACCUGACACUAUCAAUCAAAAUGUAGGUAAUUUGUCAUCCCUAUUUAGAUGGCCAACUGCUCCAACUAAUAAAUUGUGACUCCAUAUAAAUAAUGUGCAUUUACCACUUCAUGAUUGAAAUGCCAGCAGUUGAGGACGUGUUGUGUUUUUAAAGUCAACAAAUGAUUUUACUUAGAAAUAUGAGAGGUGAGAAGAUUGAGGAGGGAUUGCUGUAGAGGAACUAUACCAAAUUGAAAGGGAACUUGAAGCAUGAUUGCAUAGAGUGCUUACUGCAAGGUACGGUUACUGCUCAUGGUGUUCUUAAUAAUAGAAUAUGUUGUCUGUAUCCAGCAAUUUAGUUCUGGGCAUUUUUUUUUCUAGAUGAAACCAUUGUUUUUAAAUUCAUUCUGUUAUAUAUUGACAUUGUGCACUUUUCACUUGCUACUCAGAGUCAUGGCAUGAUCAUUUUUCACAUGCUUUCUGAAGAAGUCUUGAAAAAAAUCUCCAAACUUCUUGCCUUUUUGUUUGCACUUUGCAUGCUCUAAACUUUGAUUAGCAAAUUGUGUCUGUACUGACAACUAAUUGUGUAUGAGUUUUGUCGUACCUCUGGAUGUACUAAUAUUUGAAUUGGGUUCCUGCCCUAGCAUGAAAAAUGUUUAAGCCGAAUGCAAAUUACCAUAUAUUUCAUACAAUGUAUCUGAUUGUGGCAUCAUUCUGUUGUUUCCAAGUUGAGCUUAUCAUUGAAUACAUUGUUUGCAAUAUCCAAUCCCUUAAUUUGGUCUCAUCUGAGAGAGUAUUUUUCAUAUAUGUUUUUUACUGGUUUCAGAAGUCGGAACUGAACAUUUGCUUGGGUGGCUGAAUGCACAUAUGCCUAAUAGCAUGUGGUCAAUGUCGUUUUUUGAUGUGUUUUACUAAAAAUGACUAAAUGCUUUCUCUUCUGUCAGGCUAUCUCUUGUGUCAUCUAAAUCAUUGCAAGCCCAUAGCUUUUCUGGGGUUCACAUAGCUGAUGGAGGUGGCGCUAAUUCAUCGUGAUGUAUCGAGUUAGCUUGUUUCAGUGAAGACAAAAUUCCACAAUUUGAGAUACUAUAUUUGAGCAAAAUAGUUUAUUUCAUCCAAACAAUUUUAUUGCUGAUGGUGCUCUAACUAAUGAUGUAAUAAACAAUAUAUUAUAACUUAGUUGUAUGGAAUUAUACUUAUUUGUAAGUCAGGCCUGCUGGAACAUUCUUUAAUUUGGUGAAAACUAUAAAUAUACAUGGAGUUGGCUA